UCCCUGCAGUGUUCGUAGGUACGGUUAUAAUGUAAAACCAACAAUUUUUAUACGGGGUUUUGUCUCCGCAGGCGGCGCACAUGCCUCAUGUCUUUGACAUCCAGUGGACUUGUAAAGUCUGCGGGCGUUUUCCCACCUGGUUUCCAGGUUUUUACCUUAGAUCGUAUACGGCAUGGUGGGGGUU
RNAcentral lists this non-coding RNA (184 nucleotides) under bovine gut metagenome. RNAcentral's name for it is "6S / SsrS RNA". It matches the Rfam family "6S / SsrS RNA". Rfam says of the family: E. coli 6S RNA was the first non coding RNA to be sequenced, but its function was unknown until recently. It consists of 184 nucleotides that fold into an extended hairpin structure with a large single-stranded internal bulge. The record is from RNAcentral.